Molecule: ribosomal RNA, 384 nt
Filed under: uncultured bacterium
Lineage: Bacteria
Description: bacterial SSU rRNA
Rfam family: Bacterial small subunit ribosomal RNA
Source: RNAcentral
AACGAACGCUGGCGGCAGGCUUAACACAUGCAAGUCGAACGGGCACCUUCGGGUGUCAGUGGCAAACGGGUGAGUAACGCGUGGGAACGUACCCUUCGGUUCGGAAUAACCCAGGGAAACGUUAGGGCGUAACACCGGAUACGUCCGCAAGGAGAAAGAUUUAUCGCCGAAGGAUCGGCCCGCGUCGGAUUAGCUAGUUGGUGGGGUAAGUGGCCCACCAACGGCGACGAUCCGUAGCUGGUCUGAGAGGAUGAUCAGCCACACUGGGACUGAGACACGGCCCAGACUCCUACGGGAGGCAGCAGUGGGGAAUAUUGGACAAUGGGCGAAAGCCUGAUCCAGCCAUGCCGCGUGAGUGAAGAAGGCCUUAGGGUUGCAAAGCUC